RNAcentral lists this ribosomal RNA (1021 nucleotides) under uncultured bacterium. RNAcentral describes it as "bacterial SSU rRNA". It matches the Rfam family "Bacterial small subunit ribosomal RNA", at positions 1 to 1005 of the family's 1533-position model. The record is from RNAcentral.
UAGAGUUUGAUCCUGGCUCAGGACGAACGCUGGCGGCGUGGCCUAAUACAUGCAAGUAGAACGCUGAAGAGAGGAGCUUGCUCUUCUUGGAUGAGUUGCGAACGGGUGAGUAACGCGUAGGUAACCUGCCUUGUAGCGGGGGAUAACUAUUGGAAACGAUAGCUAAUACCGCAUAACAAUGGAUGACACAUGUCAUUUAUUUGAAAGGGGCAAUUGCUCCACUACAAGAUGGACCUGCGUUGUAUUAGCUAGUAGGUGAGGUAAUGGCUCACCUAGGCGACGAUACAUAGCCGACCUGAGAGGGUGAUCGGCCACACUGGGACUGAGACACGGCCCAGACUCCUACGGGAGGCAGCAGUAGGGAAUCUUCGGCAAUGGGGGCAACCCUGACCGAGCAACGCCGCGUGAGUGAAGAAGGUUUUCGGAUCGUAAAGCUCUGUUGUAAGUCAAGAACGGGUGUGAGAGUGGAAAGUUCACACUGUGACGGUAGCUUACCAGAAAGGGACGGCUAACUACGUGCCAGCAGCCGCGGUAAUACGUAGGUCCCGAGCGUUGUCCGGAUUUAUUGGGCGUAAAGCGAGCGCAGGCGGUUUGAUAAGUCUGAAGUUAAAGGCUGUGGCUCAACCAUAGUUCGCUUUGGAAACUGUCAAACUUGAGUGCAGAAGGGGAGAGUGGAAUUCCAUGUGUANGCGGUGAAAUGCGUAGAUAUAUGGAGGAACCACCCGGUGGCGAAAGCGGCUCUCUGGUCUGUAANCUGACGCUGAGGCUCGAAAGCGUGGGGAGCGAACAGGAUUAGAUACCCUGGUAGUCCACGCCGUAAACGAUGAGUGCUAGGUGUUGGAUCCUUUCCGGGAUUCAGUGCCGAAGCUAACGCAUUAAGCACUCCGCCUGGGGAGUACGACCGCAAGGUUGAAACUCAANGGAAUUGACGGGGGCCCGCACAAGCGGUGGAGCAUGUGGUUUAAUUCNAAGCACCCCGAANAACCUUACCAGGUCUUGACAUCCCCGAUGCUAUUUCUAG